AUUGAACGCUGGCGGCAGGCCUAACACAUGCAAGUCGAGCGGAACGGCGGACGGGUGAGUAAUGCAUAGGAAUCUGCCUGGUAGUGGGGGAUAACGUCCGGAAACGGGCGCUAAUACCGCAUACUCUCAGAUGAGCCUGGGUCGGAUUAGCUAGUUGGUGGGGGAAAGGCCUACCAGGGCGACGAUCCUUAACUGGUCUGAGAGGAUGAUCAGUCACACUGGAACUGAGACACGGUCCAGACUCCUACGUGAGGCAGCAGUGGGGAAUAUUGGAAAAUGGGCGUAAGCCUGAUCCAGCCAUGCCGCGUGUGUGAAGAAGGUCUUCGGAUUGUAAAGCACUUUAAGUUGGGAGGCGUUACCAACAGAAUAAGCACCGGCUAACUUCGUGCCAGCAGCCGCGGUAAUUC
RNAcentral lists this ribosomal RNA (407 nucleotides) under uncultured bacterium. RNAcentral describes it as "partial 16S ribosomal RNA". It matches the Rfam family "Bacterial small subunit ribosomal RNA", at positions 30 to 526 of the family's 1533-position model. The record is from RNAcentral.